RNAcentral lists this ribosomal RNA (472 nucleotides) under uncultured Glomus. Its description in RNAcentral is "SSU rRNA". It matches the Rfam family "Eukaryotic small subunit ribosomal RNA", at positions 569 to 1045 of the family's 1831-position model. Lineage: Eukaryota; Fungi; Glomeromycota; Glomeromycetes; Glomerales; Glomeraceae. The record is from RNAcentral.
AGCAGCCGCGGUAAUUCCAGCUCCAAUAGCGUAUAUUAAAGUUGUUGCAGUUAAAAAGCUCGUAGUUGAAUUUCGGGGUUAGUAGGUUGGUCAUGCCUCUGGUAUGUACUGGUCUCACUGAUUCCUCCUUCCUGAUGAGCCGUAAUGCCAUUAAUUUGGUGUUGCGGGGAAUUUGGACUGUUACUUUGAAAAAAUUAGAGUGUUUAAAGCAAGCUAACGCUUGAAUACAUUAGCAUGGAAUAAUGAAAUAGGACGUUCGAUCCUAUUUUGUUGGUUUCUAGGAUUGACGUAAUGAUUAAUAGGGAUAGUUGGGGGCAUUAGUAUUCAAUUGUCAGAGGUGAAAUUCUUGGAUUUAUUGAAGACUAACUACUGCGAAAGCAUUUGCCAAGGAUGUUUUCAUUAAUCAAGAACGAAAGUUAGGGGAUCGAAGACGAUCAGAUACCGUCGUAGUCUUAACCAUAAACUAUGCCGA